Molecule: ribosomal RNA, 269 nt
Filed under: uncultured bacterium
Lineage: Bacteria
Description: partial 16S ribosomal RNA
Rfam family: Bacterial small subunit ribosomal RNA
Source: RNAcentral
UACGGAGGUGGCAAGCGUUGCUCGGAUUUACUGGGUGUAAAGGGCACGUAGGCGGCCCCGUAAGCCCCACCUAAAUGCCCUGGCUCAACCAGGGUACGUGGUGGGGACUGCAGGGCUUGAGGGUUGGAGAGGCGAGCGGAAUUCCCGGUGUAAGGGUGAAAUCUGUAGAUAUCGGGAGGAACACCAGUGGCGAAGGCGGCUCGCUGGCCAAUUUCUGACGCUGAGGUGCGAAAGCUAGGGGAGCGAACAGGAUUAGAAACCCUGGUAGU